UACGGAAGGUGCAAGCGUUAAUCGGAAUUACUGGGCGUAAAGCGCAUGCAGGUGGUUUGUUAAGUCAGAUGUGAAAGCCCGGGGCUCAACCUCGGAAGGUCAUUUGAAACUGGCAAACUAGAGUAUGAUAGAGGGGGGUAGAAUUUCAGGUGUAGCGGUGAAAUGCGUAGAGAUCUGAAGGAAUACCAGUGGCGAAGGCGGCCCCCUGGACAGAUACUGACACUCAGAUGCGAAAGCGUGGGGAGCAAACAGG
Molecule: ribosomal RNA, 253 nt
Filed under: uncultured bacterium
Lineage: Bacteria
Description: partial 16S ribosomal RNA
Rfam family: Bacterial small subunit ribosomal RNA
Source: RNAcentral